GAGUUUGAUCGUGGCUCAGGAUGAACGCUGGCGGCGUGCUUAACACAUGCAAGUCGAACGGAAAGGCCCUUGCUUGCAAGGAUGCUCGAGUGGCGAACGGGUGAGUAACACGUAGGUGAUCUGCCUUUCACUUCGGGAUAAGCUUGGGAAACUGGGUCUAAUACCGGAUAUUCACGGCACCGUGGUUGGUGUGGUGGAAAGCUUUUGCGGUGGGAGAUGAGCUUGCGGCCUAUCAGCUUGUUGGUGGGGUAAUGGCCUACCAAGGCGGCGACGGGUAGCCGGCCUGAGAGGGUGUGCGGCCACAUUGGGACUGAGAUACGGCCCAGACUCCUACGGGAGGCAGCAGUGGGGAAUUUUGCACAAUGGGCGGAAGCCUGAUGCAGCGACGCCGUGUGGGGGAUGAAGGCCUCGG
Molecule: ribosomal RNA, 412 nt
Filed under: uncultured microorganism
Description: bacterial SSU rRNA
Rfam family: Bacterial small subunit ribosomal RNA
Source: RNAcentral